UGAAAAACUGAUUCCCAUACAAUCACCAAAGUUAAACAACACCAAGUCUGAUCAGUACUUAGAUGGGUGACCACUUGGGAAUACCAUGUGUAGCAAG
Molecule: non-coding RNA, 97 nt
Organism: Acanthosepion pharaonis
Lineage: Eukaryota; Metazoa; Mollusca; Cephalopoda; Sepiida; Sepiidae
Source: the annotation of a GenBank genome assembly